UACGUAGGGUGCGAGCGUUGUCCGGAAUUAUUGGGCGUAAAGAGCUCGUAGGCGGUCUGUCGCGUCGAUCGUGAAAACUUGGGGCUUAACCCUGAGCUUGCGGUCGAUACGGGCAUGACUGGAGUUCGGCAGGGGAGACUGGAAUUCCUGGUGUAGCGGUGAAAUGCGCAGAUAUCAGGAGGAACACCGGUGGCGAAGGCGGCUUCCUGGACAGUUACUGACGCUGAGACGCGAAAGCGUGGGGAGCAAACAGG
RNAcentral lists this ribosomal RNA (254 nucleotides) under uncultured bacterium. Its description in RNAcentral is "partial 16S ribosomal RNA". It matches the Rfam family "Bacterial small subunit ribosomal RNA", at positions 524 to 776 of the family's 1533-position model. The record is from RNAcentral.